This 476-nucleotide ribosomal RNA is filed under the name uncultured bacterium. Its description in RNAcentral is "partial 16S ribosomal RNA". It matches the Rfam family "Bacterial small subunit ribosomal RNA", at positions 29 to 507 of the family's 1533-position model. The record is from RNAcentral.
AUGAACGCUGGCGGCGUGCCUAACACAUGCAAGUCGAACGAAGCACCUUACCUGAUUCUUCGGAUGAAAGUUUGGUGACUGAGUGGCGGACGGGUGAGUAACGCGUGGGUAACCUGCCCUGUACAGGGGGAUAACAGCUGGAAACGGCUGCUAAUACCGCAUAAGCGCACGAGGAGACAUCUCCUUGUGUGAAAAACUCCGGUGGUACAGGAUGGGCCCGCGUCUGAUUAGCUGGUUGGCAGGGUAACGGCCUACCAAGGCAACGAUCAGUAGCCGGUCUGAGAGGAUGAACGGCCACAUUGGAACUGAGACACGGUCCAAACUCCUACGGGAGGCAGCAGUGGGGAAUAUUGCACAAUGGGGGAAACCCUGAUGCAGCAACGCCGCGUGAGUGAAGAAGUAUUUCGGUAUGUAAAGCUCUAUCAGCAGGGAAGAUAAUGACGGUACCUGACGAAGAAGCUCCGGCUAAAUACGUG